GACAUGUGACAUUCUGGAUAAAGGCUUUCCUGAUCUCCAGAGCGGAAGCAGGAAUUUUCCUCCUCUGAACUCUUAGGGCAUUCUGCGUGUCACUCCAUGAAAGUCAUCCUGUUUCACUUGUGAUCACAUCUGUAUCUUCAAGUAUAUGUUGUACUGUGGACUCUGGACUGGGAUGUAAUGAAUCACCAUCGUGAAUAUAGCCAACAAAAUCAGGAAUAAAUACGAAGACUCACUAUUCAUACAUAUGGUUUGAUUUAUCUUUGCUACAUGCAGCAGGCAGAGGUGCAGAGAACCCUGCACUGGAUUUUGCAGAACAUCAAUCACUUUGGACUCUGAGGCAGUCCCCAUGUGUGGCACCACCGACCUGAUGACUAUCACAUCUUGAAUGGAAAAGGGAGACUAUUAUAAAAUCUUCAUCAACAGGCAAUUUUCCUCAGAUGCUCCUUAGACGGAAAGAUAAGUGUUCUACAAGAAGGCAUGGAGUUUGUCUUAACCAACAAAAGGUAUCCCUCCCUAGUUCCUGACACAAUGAUUGGUGCCAGUGAAUGUUUGUUGAUUGGAUCAACGUCCUUAAGAAUGUAUUUAUCUGCAAAGGGUGUGUACGGCUUGAAGAAAUACAGGAUUCAUAUCAAGGAUCAUUGUUUGGCUCAUAUUGAAAUUCACGUCU
Long non-coding RNA from Camelus dromedarius (Arabian camel), 667 nucleotides. RefSeq lists it as uncharacterized. NCBI's taxonomy places the organism in Eukaryota, Metazoa, Chordata, Mammalia, Artiodactyla, Camelidae. The record is from RefSeq and is a predicted model, not a curated record. The transcript is spliced from 4 exons.